GGUGUCCUACGGGGCGCAGCAGUGAGGAAUAUUGGUCAAUGGUCGGGAGACUGAACCAGCCAAGCCGCGUGAGGGAUGAAGGUACAGAGUAUCGUAAACCUCUUUUGUCAGGGAACAAAGGCGGGGACGCGUCCCCGGAUGAGUGUACCUGAAGAAAAAGAAUCGGCUAACUCCGUGCCAGCAGCCGGGGGAAUACGGAGGAUGCGAGCGUUAUCCGGAUUUAUUGGGUUUAAAGG
RNAcentral lists this ribosomal RNA (236 nucleotides) under uncultured bacterium. Its description in RNAcentral is "partial 16S ribosomal RNA". It matches the Rfam family "Bacterial small subunit ribosomal RNA", at positions 333 to 566 of the family's 1533-position model. The record is from RNAcentral.